CAGUCGCCGCGGUAAUACGUAGGGUGCAAGCGUUAGUCGGAAUUACUGGGCGUAAAGAAUGCGCAGGCGGCUUGUUAAGACAGAUGUGAAAUCCCCGGGCUCAACCUGGGAACUGCAUUUGUGACUGGCAAGCUAGAGUAUGGCAGAGGGGGGUGGAAUUCCGCGUGUAGCAGUGAAAUGCGUAGAUAUGCGGAGGAACACCGAUGGCGAAGGCAGCCCCCUGGGCCAAUACUGACGCUCAUGCACGAAAGCGUGGGGAGCAAACAGGAUUAGAUACCCGCGUAGUCCCUGUCUCUUAUAC
RNAcentral lists this ribosomal RNA (301 nucleotides) under uncultured bacterium. RNAcentral's name for it is "partial 16S ribosomal RNA". It matches the Rfam family "Bacterial small subunit ribosomal RNA", at positions 509 to 807 of the family's 1533-position model. The record is from RNAcentral.